RNAcentral lists this long non-coding RNA (2425 nucleotides) under Mus musculus (house mouse). RNAcentral's name for it is "long non-coding RNA chrX:38218319-38220744". Lineage: Eukaryota; Metazoa; Chordata; Mammalia; Rodentia; Muridae. The record is from RNAcentral.
GGUAUAGUUGGUUUCAGUUUGAGUGGGUUCAGCAGCUAUUUCAUUUUUAAAAUCUGACCCAUGAAACAAAAGAAAGUUAAUGAUUAAUUAUAGUAUGCUUUUUUAGCAAAUUAAUGUGGUUUGCUUCUGGUUAAGAGUCAUGAUUUCAUUUGGUCCAUUUUCUGUGAAAAAAAAUCCCUAAAAAAUUUCCCUUGUGCCCCCAAGACUGCAAGGCCCUCCCGGCAGACCCUGCCAGUGCUCAGUUCAGCUUCCUAAAAUAUUUCUGAAAACUUAAAGCCAUUCAUUUUUCUCAAUUUUUUUCACUGCUUUUCACAAUCAGCAAGGUGAGACACAAAACGAUCCGGAGCUGAUGAAAACGUUCAGUGGGGAAAGGCACUUGCUGCCGGACCUGAUGACCCAAGUUCAAAUCCCAGAACAGCUUCCACAAGCUGCCAUCUGAUGUGUCCAAAGUUCCAUCUGCCAUAAUUUUGGUUAAAAAUGGAGUCUAUAUUCUUGCUAGGCUGCUUUUCUUAGCAGGCCCAGACUAGAAAUGCUGGGAGCUUACUCAAAGACUGUUCUACUUUUUUGAUUCGAGAAGGUACUGUCUUCAGUUUCCUGCCUGUCUAAAUCCUGCCUUUGGCUCAAAGCUUUGACGCGGCCUUCUCAAGGGCCGCAGUGCCCACCCGCUAGACUUUCCCGAAACACUCACAGCCUCAGACAGACUUUCCUUUUCAGUUGGUUGUUGUUAGUUUUUCAUUUAAGCUAAUAUAUAUUGAGAGGUUGCUCGGCUCUGAGUGCUGUGCUACAGUCAAGCCCAAGGCCACUACGAUGUCUCUGUCCAACUUGUAACGUCUCAAAAGCAAGGGGCAUCUCUUACAGGACAUCUCUUUGUGUCUCUCUUACUGCCUAGAACAGCAUUAGAAAGAUUGAAGAACACAGAUUAAUACACAGUGAAUGAGUAACCAGGGCAUUGACUAGGCUUGUUUCUUCUUGCACUCCACUUCCUGGGUUGGCCCAAUGAAGCAGAAAACCUGGGUUCAAAUCACUGCCUAAACACAGGAAAUGGCAGUUGAUCUUGGGGAAAACAGGAAGGCAUCUUUCUGCUCUUCAAUAUUACUUCUCCUCUUGUCUUCUCUUUUUCCCCCUCCCCCUCUGUCUCUGUCUUGUCUCUCUAUCUCUAUCUCUGUCUCUCCCUCUCUUUCCUCUCUCCCUCCCUCCUUCUCCCUACCCCCAAUUCUCCUUAUUUUUAAAUUCCCCUUCUGGUACACUUAGUUUCUGAAGAGCACAAUAGCCCCUGGCACAUAGUAGGAAUGUCAUAAAGGUUUGCUAGAAUUGCUGAGGAGUGGAAGUAAGCUGGCCUCUAUCACUGUGUUCCCAGCGGAGGAAACAAACCACUCCAUUUCCUUUAGGUUACUUGCUAAAAACCAAUGAUAUUGACUUGACCUCUCCAAAGAUGAGUGAGUUAGAUGGGAGGCAGAGAUGCUCUAAGAGGCUGCCGCAGAGAAGCUGUGUCCUAGAGAAAGCCAUCUUCCUGCACAAGGCUAAAUGGAAUAAUCUAUGUUUGGUAUUAAACCUCACCACCCAUGACGUCAGUGAAGGUCUGCGGGUUCGAGGGGACAGUAGACACUCUGUUUCUGUAGCGAUGUACAAAUGACUGCCUGAUGGUUUCUGUUCCCACUUUUUUUUUCUUGGCCUCCUUUCCAGGAAAUGGACUGGAGGAGCUGGCAAUUGAUUAAAAAUAGGCUUCGUGUGAGGAAAACAAAUACACAUUCGGCAAAAUUAAAGUCUCCAAGCCUCAGAAUGCUGGUUGCCAGCUAUAUUUAGGUCUUCAAUUUAAGUCCCAUUGGCUCUGGCUGCAAAAACCCCUGGGUCAAGGAAAAAGCUUUCUCUUCAUUGCAAGUCUGUCCCCUAUUUAGUCUUAUGGCUGUUUUCUGAACUGAUGGAAACAUAAGCAAGUCCUUUUCUAUUGGUUUUGCCCUUGGGAUCUUGGCCACCCAGACUUGAGAAAGUAGAUUGACAGAUGCUUGGGCUUCUAGGUACAGGGCAGGUUAAAGCUACUCUGGAGCUUAUAGAUCUUUAGAAACAGCAUGGCCCAUAUCCGUUGCCUUGUCUAAUAUUUUCUUUUCCUGGUGAAAAGAUUUUGUUUUUGAUUUUCAACAAAUGCCCCUCUAUUUUCAUCAGCUCUUUAGUCAUGCCUAACCCUAUGCUGACAAAAUGGAAGCAUGUCCUCUGCCCUGUGCAAGUCCACAGUUUAGUACAACUUCUUAACAAAUUCCUUUCUUAUGUGGUUCAUUUACAUAAUGGAAUACUACACAGAUACUAAAAACAAGGACAUCCUGAACUUUGCAGGCAAAUGGAUGGAACUAGAAAAUACCGUCCUUAGUGAGGUAACCCAGACACAAAAGGACAUGUAUGGCAUGCAUUCACUAUUAAGUGGCUAUUAGCC